Long non-coding RNA from Erpetoichthys calabaricus (reedfish), 4706 nucleotides. RefSeq lists it as uncharacterized. The record is from RefSeq and is a predicted model, not a curated record. The transcript is spliced from 3 exons. Lineage: Eukaryota; Metazoa; Chordata; Cladistia; Polypteriformes; Polypteridae.
GUAUAAGACAUAAGUAACUAAUGCAAGUUUAAAUUUUAAUAUUUCAAAAACCAGCAUAUAUUUUGCUAUUAUGUUUGGAGAUUUCAAUUAUAUUUGGUAAUGUAGUUAGUUAAAAUUAUAUGUGUUAAUAUUAAUAAGAGCCAUAUAAUUACUUAACAAUUGUUCUAUACAUUUUUGUAGCAAUAAAACUGAAAAAUUAGGAGGAACAGUCUCAUCUCUUCACUUUCCAUGACAGGACCUUGGUUUCCAUACAGCUGCAUGGGGUAUGAAUAGUGUGGCAUCAGUCAGUUCUUAACUAUGAAAUUAAACUUGUUUAAUAUCAAUAUGGGUUAAAAUUAAUAGGUGUAUGCAUCCCCAUCACCCUGAAUUUGAUUAAGAGGGUUUGAGGAAGCUGUGUUUGUAAUACAACUGUCAAAUUUAUUAUGUGAACACAUCCAUUUAAAAAUAAUCAUUUUAAAUGUCUUUCAUUACUGAUAUUUCCACACGGAUGGAGCUUUGUGACUUAAAUAGCCACUGAUCCAAUACACUGUUCAUGAUUACCUUAACAUGGCACCUCUGUUCUUUUUUUUUUACUAGGAUCAGCAAUUUAUAAUCCUGAAUUGUGCUCGAGCAGUGCUCAGGGCCCACGCUUCAAAUCUACAAGUUACUUAUAUUUGCACUCUGUUUUAACUAUAUCUUUAUUAUGUAUUAGUAUUUGGACGCUAAGAUAAAAGGUUAUAAACUAAGAAUGUUAUUACCAACAGGUAUCAAAAGGCAGAAGUCACUAAAACUAUAUAUCUAUAUACUGUAUAUCCCUUGUUUUGUGCAACCCAGUUACCCAGACACAAGACAGGCAGGAGAGGACUGAGCAAACAGAUCUUUUUAUUUUAGCACUUGGAGGAACAGGACUUCAGUAUCAGAGACUUGUCUCCAUUUCUCCAUGUCGAUUUCUUGACUUUUAAAGAACCUGUAGGGAGGGGACAUGUUCAGAUGCAGUCUCCCCAGGACAAGACAGAGCAGGGCAACAGGUGAGUAAACUGUCUUUAAAGACAAUGUGCAAUAAGUGCUUUAUGUGGUGUAGUUGUAGCUUAUCCAGUAUUUGGCUGCUUGAGGCUUUGUUUCUUUUGCUUUAGAAUUCUGUAUAUAAGAGUAUUUGGGAAUCAGAGGAUGCAUUUUUUGCAUUAGAACGAUGUAUAAAAACAUUCUCCUUAAUCUUAUAAAGACUUGAAUGGCCAAGGUCCUGUUCACUUAUCUGAGCUAAUCACUACUUACAAACCAGAGUGCACAGUGAGAUCUCAAGAUGUUGGCCUAUUUAAGAUUCCAAGGAUUAAUAAAAUAACAGUGGAAGGUCGAGCUCUUAGUUACAGGGUCCUGAAGCUGUGGAAUGAUUUGCCUGCUAAUAUAAGAGGCGUCCCUUCAGUCUCAGCAUUAAAUUCCAGUGUGAAGACUCGCUACUUUAGUCUAGCAUACACUGACUAGAGCUGCUGAUUAGCUGUGCAUAGUACAAAUCUGUAUGUUAGUCAUUUAUACAAAAAUAUAAGUAUCACAGUAUUUAAAAAAAAAAUUACUACCCUUCCAUAAUUCUGUUUUCCUUUUCAGUAUCUGGAUGUGGCACUUGGUGCCACUACUUUACUGCCAGGCUGCUCUUCUGCAUAUGGAAAAGUAAUUUCAGAUAGAGGAGCAUUGGAAUCAUCAGACCAAAGGAUUCUCUCAUCAGAUUGGACAGCCAGCAUAGACUCCAAUAUGGAAAACCCAGGAGCAGGACCAAGAAGACAGUGAGCAUAGCCGGCGCUGUUUGCAGGAGGGUCCAGAGAAAGAAAAUCUUGGACACCUUGAGCAACACCUUGAAUGAGAGAAGAUGGAUGCACAUGAACCAGCAGCUCUGGAGCAAGGAUCAUAAGAUUGACAGCCAAACCAUCCAUGACAUCACAUCUGUUGACCACCCUCCUGAACCCGACUCUUCAUGCCCUGGAGCAUUGAUAACCAUCUCAGUCUCCAUCUUGAACAGUCAUUGAUAUACUCACAUCUGAGAUGACAUUCCUUGCAUUUAUUUUGUACCCUGUUGUACAAUUUUGUUAUCAUUUAUAUGGGGAAAAUGUUGGUGCACCAACCCUUUAUGUUCUCUCUGUUUUUGUUUGUUAUAAUAUGUAUACUAGCCACAGUACCUGUUGAAGACAGGUAAUAGAAUAAUUUUAAAAUAUUUGGAAUCUCUUGCUCUACAUGUAUUUUCAGCACCUUUACACUUUAUCAGCAUGUGUCUGAACCUCUUGUCACCAGCACUUCGUAUAUCGAAGGUGUUCCUGUAAAUCCUGCUUCUCAGACUUGUCGUUAUUUUCAAGGUUUAUCAUGUCCCAUCCAGUUUUAUACUUUCUGUCUUUAAAGUUGACUAUCAGUGUGUGCCUUUUCUCAUCCUCAUGUGUCUCACACUUGCACUUCUCCAUUCAUUGCGCCACCUGACCAAUCACACCAAGCCAAACUGACCAAUCAAAUUGUUGUGUGGGACUGGACACACAAGCCUUAGGUUUUAUGACAAUACUAGGGGGCUUUGCCCCCUACUUGCUUCGUUUGCUAACCCCCAGCCUGCACUAUGCGCCAGCCACUUUGCAUCUCUGCUGCUCGUGUAUGUGGAUUUCACUUUCACCAAACAACAAAUUAAUUCUCGCAGAUACGCCUCUUCAUUGGGAAGAAACACUACUUUUCCCUGAUGGCAACAUGAAUUAGAUGAUCUACAAGUCUCCGACUUAAAGUUUAAAUCCGAAUAAUAUCUACAUACUUCUGUCAUAUCACUUAUGUCCAUAUAUUCAAUCUCUUUUCGCUGUUCCGUUAUUUCACUGAGUAAUAAUUUCCGUUUGUUUGCACUAAUGCAAUAUUUACUUUCAUUUUUUUGAGACUUCCGAAUUUUAGUACUUUCAUUAUCUCUAACUGUCUCUGCAUGUGUAUUGCGCCAACGUUUUUGAACCUCUUUACAAGAUUCUACUUUGUCAUAUACUCUUUUUCUUUUAUUUCUGGCCCUUUGCAUGGUUAAAUCUCUUGGCAAAAAGUCUCAUCUCGCAGGAGCAUGAAAUUAUCUCUCUGAAAAAGUCUUGUCUUGUCCCAGGCUAAAAAGUCUCAUCUCGUCCCAUGAUUUUUUUAUAUAAUAGAGAGAUAUAUACUGUAUUAUAAUCAGUAUGCAACAGUGACAGUGUUCCCAAAAAGUAAUGCUAUAAACCUGAUUUCGAUUUAACAUCCAUGUUGAAGCCUUAGUAGCAUUAAAGUCUUGUUUGUAAAAUAACAAGACUGAAUGAGACAUGCUGGAAAAGCCACAACGGCAAUUUGUUAAGAAGUCUAUCAUUACCCAAACUGCACUCCCUCAAAGCCACACACAUUAGACUAAAAUAGGCCGUGAACUGUGAUCCUCAACAGUUUCCCAAAAUCAGUGCUUUUAAAGUUGGCUAAAAUGAAAAAUAAAACCAGAUAUAAAUUAUACAUAGAUGUGCAUUAGUGCAUUAUCCAGUGCUCAUUGUGGCUGCAAAUAAAUGCUGAGUUGAUCCCCAACUGCUUUUGUUCUAGUGAAAGAUCUGAAUCAGUCUUUUUUUGCUGCAUGCAGCAGCUACUUUGCUUGACUCUCUUAAUUUGGUCUCUACUGCUGACACAUACAAUACGUUAGAUAUAUUCUCUCACAAUGGUUCUGUUGAACUUAUUAAAAACCAAAGUACACAGUUCAGCUCUUUUUGGCUUUGGAGAUCCAGCUAAUUGCCUUAGGUCAUGUGAAAAGUUAAUAUAGCCCUCCAAGUCAGACAUCAUUAAUACUACAAGAGUCCAUGGCUUCUGCUAUAAAGUAAUUCAAAGAAGAAAAAACAAAAAGCAUUUUUUGUUUUUCUGGAAAAACCUGGAUUCAGGUCAGCAACAUUUUCUGUUAAAAUGCCAGGAAUAUGUCAAUUGUUAGGUGAAAAUGAAUAAUGGGCAAGGAAGGUUCAACUUUCACAACAUCUUACUGUGUACCUCUAUAGUCUUAUGCUGUAAUUUGAAUUCUAUUUCUCAUGCAACCAGUUUCAUUGACAUUAGGAUGACAUUAGGAUACGCAAGUUAGGGAAAAGGAUGGACAGCUGGAUAGACUCAGUAUCACUGGGAAACAUGACACAUGUAGGAACUGACAUGCCUUGCCUUGGCCUGACUUAUCAAAACCAUUUCCUCUGUUCUAAGAAAAUCAUUCAGCCUGCCAUCUGUCAUUUGUAAGAAAAUGACCCUACUUAAUCUGACUACCUGUAUCAUGACCACUAAAGCAUUGAAGGAGGGCCAUUUCAUAUCACAUUCUCUCUCAAGGCCAAGCCAAGUCUAUGAGGCAUUAUGUCAUCACUUAUUAUGGAAUGCACCAGAUAUUAAAAGGUGUAGAGCAGUCUGAAUUAUUGUGUAAAAAACAUUAACUGAAAAUGGAUUAUGAAGGACUGUGAACAACUAACUGCAUUGGAAAGACACAAGAAGGUCAGACGCAGGUGAAAAUACAUCAACUGUGUUUGAGAGGGAGCAAGAAGCAGAAAUAAAGGCUACAAGCAAAUACUUUAAAUCUGCUGCUAUAUAAAAAACAAAUGUAUUGCAAAUAGACAUAUGUUGUCAGACAACCUUAUUUCUCUCACCUCAUUGUUUUGCAUUGAAAAAAUAGUUAUAUCGAGGGUGAAAUAGAGACAGCCUGUCCUCACCAGUGGGCACUAGAGAGGAGGGCUCCUCUUUAACUCCUUCUUCAGCUGGCU